This 497-nucleotide ribosomal RNA is filed under the name uncultured bacterium. Its description in RNAcentral is "partial 16S ribosomal RNA". It matches the Rfam family "Bacterial small subunit ribosomal RNA", at positions 28 to 507 of the family's 1533-position model. The record is from RNAcentral.
GAUGAACGCUGGCGGCGUGCCUAAUACAUGCAAGUCGAGCGAACAGACGAGGAGCUUGCUCCUCUGACGUUAGCGGCGGACGGGUGAGUAACACGUGGAUAACCCACCUAUAAGACUGGGAUAACUUCGGGAAACCGGAGCUAAUACCGGAUAACAUGCUGCACCGCGUUGUUCAACAGUGAAAUACGGUCUUGCUGUCACUUAUAGAUGGAUCCGCGCCGCAUUAGCUAGUUGGUAAGGUAACGGCUUACCAAGGCAACGAUGCGUAGCCGACCUGAGAGGGUGAUCGGCCACACUGGAACUGAGACACGGUCCAGACUCCUACGGGAGGCAGCAGUAGGGAAUCUUCCGCAAUGGGCGAAAGCCUGACGGAGCAACGCCGCGUGAGUGAAGAAGGUCUUCGGAUCGUAAAACUCUGUUAUUAGGGAAGAACAAAUGUGUAAGUAACUAUGCACGGCUUGACGGUACCUAAUCAGAAAGCCACGGCUAACUACGUG